GGACGCACCUCUGGAGAGACCGUCAAGGCGCCGAAGGGGCAAGUUCGCCACAGAUAAUGUGGGAAUAUAAUCUCUCAGGCAAAAGGACAGAGUUAAAAGU
Molecule: non-coding RNA, 100 nt
Filed under: Pseudobacteroides cellulosolvens
Lineage: Bacteria; Bacillati; Bacillota; Clostridia; Eubacteriales; Oscillospiraceae
Description: Glycine sequence
Rfam family: Glycine riboswitch aptamer
About the family: This family represents the bacterial glycine riboswitch. Glycine riboswitches usually consist of two metabolite-binding aptamers domains with similar structures in tandem.
Source: RNAcentral